UGCAAGUAACAUGUCGGUGUCCUACAUUC
Molecule: non-coding RNA, 29 nt
Filed under: Bombyx mori (domestic silkworm)
Lineage: Eukaryota; Metazoa; Arthropoda; Insecta; Lepidoptera; Bombycidae
Source: RNAcentral